GGCUCAGAUUGAACGCUGGCGGCAGGCCUAACAACAUGCAAUCGAGCGGUAGAGAGAAGCUUGCUUCUCUUGAGAGCGGCGGACGGGUGAGUAAUGCCUAGGAAUUCUGCCUAGUGGUGGGGGAUAACGUUCGGAACGGACGCUAAUACCGCAUACGUCCUACGGGAGAAAGCGGGGGACCUUCGGGCCUCGCGCCAUUAGAUGAGCCUAGGUCGGAUUAGCUAGUUGGUGAGGUAAUGGCUCACCAAGGCUACGAUCCGUAACUGGUCUGAGAGGAUGAUCAGUCACACUGGAACUGAGAC
This 302-nucleotide ribosomal RNA is filed under the name Pseudomonas sp. Its description in RNAcentral is "bacterial SSU rRNA". It matches the Rfam family "Bacterial small subunit ribosomal RNA", at positions 21 to 325 of the family's 1533-position model. Lineage: Bacteria; Pseudomonadati; Pseudomonadota; Gammaproteobacteria; Pseudomonadales; Pseudomonadaceae. The record is from RNAcentral.